Molecule: transfer RNA, 74 nt
Filed under: Paramuricea clavata
Lineage: Eukaryota; Metazoa; Cnidaria; Anthozoa; Malacalcyonacea; Plexauridae
Rfam family: tRNA
About the family: Transfer RNA (tRNA) molecules are approximately 80 nucleotides in length. Their secondary structure includes four short double-helical elements and three loops (D, anti-codon, and T loops).
Source: Rfam by way of RNAcentral
GUCUCUGUGGCGCAAUGGGUUAGCGCGUUCGGCUGUUAACCGAAAGGUUGAUGGUUCGAAUCGAUCCAGCGACG